AAGAAAAAAAAAAUUAAAAAAAAAGAACUGAAGACCUAUAUGGUAUACAAUAAGCCGAUCCCUACGGUAAUUCUCAUUGAUCACACACCAAUGAAUAAUUUAUGGCCAAAACAAGAGAGUCGUAGAUGGCUACUCUAAUGAACCAUAACUAAGAAAAAUUCCCAACAAUAUCCAACCAAGAAAUUUGGAGUUGUUUCAUAAGCCGAAAUGCUUUAUUAGGAAGCAGCCAUUGUAGGUUAAGCCAGCUUCAUCUUCUUUUAACUUUCACCAGCCAUGGAAACUAUUAAUUAAUUGCUCGUCUUCGUCAUCGUUAUCAAACUCAAAUUGUGCUACUCACCUAAGUUCGAGAAUGUUAGCUGGCGGUAAAGCACCAUCUUCUCAUCAUCGGCAUCUAGAUCAAGACCAUCCUCCCCCUCAUAGUUCAUUUCGAUAACACUUCUGUCUUUAACAGAUGGUUCUUCAGCUUCAAAUAACUGAACUUGAGAGUAUUCUCCACUUCUAGGUGAAUCAUCUAACAUCAACUGUUCCAUCUCUGAUUCUAUCAAUGCUUGCAUCUGAGCCCGCUCUCUGUCUCUUGGAUAGGUACAAUAGAGGAAAGAAUAAAUGAAACAACACAGGGCCAUUGGUACUCCUAUUGCUGUAUACAAAGCUUUGGCUAAUGAUGCAGCAUUUCUUCUAUCUGUAUCAAUCUCUUCAUAUUCAGUAGAUCCAUUAAGAAUGGGUUUAUAACCAUAAACAUGUUGAGCUAGUAUUCCAACUAUUGGAGGAGCAAAUGAUGACAGUAUGGACUCGAAUGAUCGAUCCAAAGCAUAGACGCUUGUCCGGGAUCUCUCAGGAACUAUUUCUGCAAAAAUUGGAUUGUUUGUAGCUGGAGCAUUCCAAGUGAUGCACAACCCCAUAAUGACCAAAACAAAUCCAUGUGCGAUUGCUGUUGAUGGAUCAUCAGGUAAAGCCAACAGAAGCAAUGCUGCUAGAGGGAUUGCUGAUGCAGAGCUUAUCUGUGCUAGAAUUAUUCUUCCAGAGUUUGGGAAACGUGUGGAAAGGAUAUCUCCCAUUUUGCCUCCAAAAAGGCCCCCAAAGGAACCAGCAAUUACAAACGAUGCUAGGAGAAAUGCAGUUUUCUCAUGGGAGAAGCCAAUAAGCUCUAACCACAUUGCUGAAAACGUCAUAGCUGACCAAGGGAAUGAACCAGUAAUUCCCUGAGCCACAAUUAUCUGGAAAGAUGAAAUUUUUAUAACUGAUUUGGCUUCUUGAAACAGAUCCUUCACUUCUGACCAAAAGGAUUUACUUGCAUCUUGAUUCCUAGCUUUCACAUUAUCAUCUGAAAAGUGUGGAUCACGGGCAAAAAGGUAGACUAAUACUCCUACUACAAUACUAAUUAUUCCAACAAGAUGGAAUGAAAGCCUCCAUCCAGGGAUUCCCAUAAAUGUUAUUGGAGCUAUCAAUAGUGAACAGAGUCCCCCAAUAACCGAACCAAGGUUGGCUGUUAGUUGUAGCCAUCCAAAGGCUGUGCCACGGUUGCUAUCAUUGGUUGAAUCAGCUACAAGGGACUGGAUAGCAGGUGCAACUAUAGCAAGCCCAAUGCCAUUCAAAGCUCUCGAUACAGCCACCUGUUUGAGAAAAGCUGAAUGACUUGAAAAGCAAUAAUAUCAGUUGCUAUGCUACGGAUUAUGGUUCUUAGGUUGCACAUCAUAGAAUGUCUUAUGAUUGUUACCAAAAAUCACAUAAUAAAAUCUCACGCGUAAAGUGAAACGUACUUAUUUUUAACUAUUUUCUUUAUGUUCGAUAUGAGGCAGUUGAAACUUUAUGCACAAUUUAAAUUGACAGGGAGCACUUGGAACCAGAUGAAAGUGAAUUAUUUGAGUUCAACUAAAUUUGAAGUGAGCAUGCAACAAUUUAAUCUUCUGUAACAUAUAAUGGAUGAACCCACUCCAUACAGAGAAGCUCACUUAUCAACUUCAGUGGCAUCUAAAUAGAAUCAUUCCAUUUUUUAACCUGUUCAAAUCCUCAGAGAACUUCACCAUUCAUAAAAUCAAGGCCUCUCAUUAAAUUACACAGAUCUCAUUCUUCUCAUCUUAGCAGGCUAUCAUUUUCAAGUGACAAACGAAAAGUUUUUCAUUGCUUAUAAAUUUAUAUAAAACACUUCCUCUGAGUCCAGGCAUUUAAGCCACGCUCCAAAUCCCUGUUAAAUUUGAGGUUUGCUCAAGUUUCUCUCAUUCCCUCGUUAGGUAUUAUAAAUCAAUCAGAUUCAGCAUUGAAUCAGAAGCCAAAGAUAAAUUUGAAUUCUAUAUAUUUCAGCAAUUCAUUCACAGCAUUACUAGUGAUUAAAUUUCCAUAUUAAAAAUCCACACUUCCCCCAAUGUCAAGACAAUAAAGCUGUUAAGUCUUUGUCAUAUGAAUCUCAGUCACGAAUAAAGAAUGAAACCAAACUUAGAAGGAAUAUCCUCGCAUUAUUCUAUUCUGUGCAAUACAAUUGAUGACAGAUAACCCUUUAUAAUUUUCUUUCCCAGCAUUCUACUGUAAAAUCAAGAACAGCCUUCCGUAAUUACGAUUCAAGAAUCAGUAACUACCACAAUCAGCAAUCCAAAGGCCAAUUAACAACUCCACAGAUCAUUAUUCAAUUUCAUGUUUAAAGAUGAUAAUGAAUUAAAUUUGUUGUAAUCAGAUGUAUAUAAUAGUAAUUAGGUGCUCAACCAAACCCAAUUCGACUAAACCAAACCCAAUUCGACUAAUCCCAACUAUUAGACUUGGUUUGACUCUCUCAUUUAUGUUAGACAAUCAAUUAAAGAAACACAAAAUUACAUCGCCUAAACAUC
This 2816-nucleotide unclassified non-coding RNA is filed under the name Hevea brasiliensis (rubber tree). The record is from RNAcentral. Lineage: Eukaryota; Viridiplantae; Streptophyta; Magnoliopsida; Malpighiales; Euphorbiaceae.